UGAGUAACGCGUAGGAACCUGUCACACAGUGGGGGAGUAACGCUGGGAAACCGGCGCUAAUACCGCAUGUGGUCAGAGAUGAAGAAAGCAGCAAUGCGCUGUGUGAGGGGCCUGCGUCCGAUUAGCUCGUUGGUGGGGUAACGGCCUACCAAGGCGACGAUCGGUAGCUGGUCUGAGAGGAUGGUCAGCCACACUGGGACUGAGACACGGCCCAG
This 215-nucleotide ribosomal RNA is filed under the name uncultured bacterium. RNAcentral describes it as "partial 16S ribosomal RNA". It matches the Rfam family "Bacterial small subunit ribosomal RNA", at positions 107 to 334 of the family's 1533-position model. The record is from RNAcentral.